This is a long non-coding RNA of Bolinopsis microptera, 331 nucleotides long. RefSeq lists it as uncharacterized. The transcript has 3 exons. NCBI's taxonomy places the organism in Eukaryota, Metazoa, Ctenophora, Tentaculata, Lobata, Bolinopsidae. The record is from RefSeq and is a predicted model, not a curated record.
GUAGAAACGGAGAGAUUUCUUGCUGGGACACAGUCCAAACCAAGGAAUGCUCAAUGUGUGAGACACAGAGCUUGGACGGAACAAAAACAACACACGAACAUUUGUCCGAAUGGUACAUGAUGACGGAUGCCGGAUGUGAAGAGUGUGUGUGCAACAGGAAAAAGAUCGAAUGUUUGGUGAUGCCACAAGAAAGAUCACGUGGUCACGUGGAGUGUGCUAACCAUGGCAACUAACUGAUCACGUGGCGUAAUCACAUUAUCACAUGGAGUGGGCUUACCAGGGCAACUAACUAUAGUGUAAUCAUUGUAUGAACUUGGCACCUAGGCAGGAU